Gadus chalcogrammus (walleye pollock) is the source of this 576-nucleotide long non-coding RNA. RefSeq lists it as uncharacterized. The transcript has 3 exons. Lineage: Eukaryota; Metazoa; Chordata; Actinopteri; Gadiformes; Gadidae. The record is from RefSeq and is a predicted model, not a curated record.
GUUCAACCAAAGAACUUCGUUGUCAAGAUGCCUCGUGCCUCGCGCGUUUCGGCUGCAGCCAAGGUGAGGAUGAGGACGAUUCUUCCGAUGGCAACGACUCUGGCUAGAGGCUUCCUCCCUGUGCGUGGCACUGGAGCUCGUCACCGUGUCAAGCCUUGGCCUGUCUCUGCCCACACUGGGAAGUUCAACCGAUUGGAUCUCCCUCCUGAGUCUCCAGAUAAGCAGGUAAACUUGUCAAAGACCUUUCAGAAAAUAAUGUAUAAUUUAGCUGUGGAAUAUGUUUGGAGUGGAAUGACAACUUUUUAUUUGUCCUUAUUUAUAGUUUGUGCUGUUUGUGGGCGACUCGCAUCUGCGUGCGUUGGUUGACCGUUACGUGAGGAUGCCAGACGGUUGCCUUUCGUUUGGGUUCCUGUCUACGCCUGGGGCGUCUGCCGCUGAGCUCCGCACUGAGUUGCUGAACGCAGACAUCCCCAGAACCCCCGACAUCGUUUGCUUGCUGGCUCCAAGCAACAACCCGGCGCCCGGCAUCGAAGCGGCUGGAGUUGCCUUCGAUGGACUUCUGAGAGCUGCCCGCAG